GGAACGUUACCAAUCUGUUGCCUCGGCGGGAUUCUCUUGCCCCGGGCGCGUCGCAGCCCCGGAUCCCAUGGCGCCCGCCGGAGGACCAACUCCAAACUCUUUUUUUCUCUCCGUCGCGGCUCCCGUCGCGGCUCUGUUUUAUUUUUGCUCUGAGCCUUUCUCGGCGACCCUAGCGGGCGUCUCGAAAAUGAAUCAAAACUUUCAACAACGGAUCUCUUGGUUCUGGCAUCGAUGAAGAACGCAGCGAAAUGCGAUAAGUAAUGUGAAUUGCAGAAUUCAGUGAAUCAUCGAAUCUUUGAACGCACAUUGCGCCCGCCAGUAUUCUGGCGGGCAUGCCUGUCCGAGCGUCAUUUCAACCCUCGAACCCCUCCGGGGGGUCGGCGUUGGGGAUCGGCCCCUCACCGGGCCGCCCCCGAAAUACAGUGGCGGUCUCGCCGCAGCCUCUCCUGCGCAGUAGUUUGCACACUCGCACCGGGAGCGCGGCGCGGCCACAGCCGUAAAACACCCCAAACUUCUGAAAUGUUGACCUCGGAUCAGGUAGGAAUACCCGCUGAACUUAAGCAUAUCAUAGCGGAGGAA
This 579-nucleotide ribosomal RNA is filed under the name Trichoderma sp. NOF13. RNAcentral describes it as "eukaryotic LSU rRNA". The stretch from base 197 to 350 matches the Rfam family "5.8S ribosomal RNA". Lineage: Eukaryota; Fungi; Ascomycota; Sordariomycetes; Hypocreales; Hypocreaceae. The record is from RNAcentral.